This is a long non-coding RNA of Gambusia affinis (western mosquitofish), 508 nucleotides long. RefSeq lists it as uncharacterized. The transcript has 3 exons. The record is from RefSeq and is a predicted model, not a curated record. NCBI's taxonomy places the organism in Eukaryota, Metazoa, Chordata, Actinopteri, Cyprinodontiformes, Poeciliidae.
CAUGGAGGCGUUGACCCCGGUGAUGAUGGUGGACAUGGUCAGCACUGUGGUGAUACCUGAAGAGAAGACGACAAACACUGUGACGGCGGGUUCCUGUGUGAAAUGGCUGAGAACCAACAUGAGACAUGAUGUUUGAAUUCAGCUACUCUGAAUCUGGAUGAAAAUGUGAACUACCCAUCAUCAUCAUCGUCAUCAUCAUCAUCAUCGUCAUCAUCAUCAUCAUCAUCGUACGGUCUCUACCUGCCAGUGUUCUCUACAUGCUGCUCUUUAUUCACCGUGAAGUUUUACAUGAGACGGACUUCAAAGUAAAGCGGCAGAAAGUCCUAAAACUUUAAUGCGCAGCAGAUCUGGGGUUUCAGGGAAUAUCUGGUAUGCAAAGCGGACAUGUCAGUCUCAGCAGGGGGCAAGAAGAAAGCUCCUGAAGAGUGAUGAUACUAAAAAUGACUGUCAGGCAACACCAUGUGUGGAAAGGAAAUCGACAGGAAUACUCUGGAGUCGGGUGGAAAUC